This 218-nucleotide long non-coding RNA is filed under the name Carica papaya (papaya). RNAcentral describes it as "long non-coding RNA (CPAP_LNC010280)". Lineage: Eukaryota; Viridiplantae; Streptophyta; Magnoliopsida; Brassicales; Caricaceae. The record is from RNAcentral.
UAAAAUUAGACAUUGGUAUAUUUUAGUGGUUAUUUGGAUGGUAAGGAUCUAAAUAAAUGAAAGCUUACUGGGCAUUCUAGGAAAAGGUGGACAGACCGAGUACAUAGCGAAUCCUACCGUAGACAUUACUGUAGUCGGACAGGAUUGAUAAGUCCCAUACUAGAAUGGUUUUGUAAGAUUUGGUUCACCCUCAUACUGGAUGGGGUAUCGAGGUAAUG